UUUCAACUUUUUAUUUGGGUUUUUGUUUCUUUUUCCGGUGAAGCUGUUUUAUGUUUGUUUACUGUAUAAAAUGUAGUAGAGUUUAAUGGGUUUUGAUUAGAAAUGACGAUGGUUCUUAAUUUUUGGAGUUUUAAUGGAAGUUCUGAAUCUGGGUUUAGGGUUUAAGUUGGAAUUGAAUUUGGGACUAUAAUCCAAAACUGAGUUUUAGUCGGAUUGUGUAUUUAAUGCUUACAAUUUUUUAUUUUUGCAGGAGCUCGAGUUUAAAGUCUCUACCUUUAGGUGGGAUUCAGUCUUUUAGAUGCCCAGGGACCUUCAAAGUCAAAUCUCAGAGGACAGGAGACACAGAGCAGUCUAGUGUUAACCUGAAUGAUUUUAAUUCCAAAUUCCUUAAGAGUCUUCCAUAUAAACUGGUGGUAGGAUGCAUCCCACUGUAUGUGGUGUUCAGGAUAGCGCAAA
This is a long non-coding RNA of Arabidopsis lyrata subsp. lyrata, 456 nucleotides long. RefSeq lists it as uncharacterized. NCBI's taxonomy places the organism in Eukaryota, Viridiplantae, Streptophyta, Magnoliopsida, Brassicales, Brassicaceae. The transcript has 3 exons. The record is from RefSeq and is a predicted model, not a curated record.